CCUACGGGAGGCAGCAGUGGGGAAUAUUGCACAAUGGGCGAAAGCCUGAUGCAGCGACGCCGCGUGAGGGAUGACGGCCUUCGGGUUGUAAACCUCUUUCAGCAGGGAAGAAGCGAAAGUGACGGUACCUGCAGAAGAAGCGCCGGCUAACUACGUGCCAGCAGCCGCGGUAAUACGUAGGGCGCAAGCGUUGUCCGGAAUUAUUGGGCGUAAAGAGCUCGUAGGCGGCUUGUCACGUCGGUUGUGAAAGCCCGGGGCUUAACCCCGGGUCUGCAGUCGAUACGGGCAGGCUAGAGUGUGGUAGGGGAGAUCGGAAUUCCUGGUGUAGCGGUGAAAUGCGCAGAUAUCAGGAGGAACACCGGUGGCGAAGGCGGAUCUCUGGGCCAUUACUGACGCUGAGGAGCGAAAGCGUGGGGAGCGAACAGGAUUAGAUACCCUGGUAGUCCACGCCGUAAACGGUGGGAACUAGGUGUUGGCGACAUUCCACGUCGUCGGUGCCGCAGCUAACGCAUUAAGUUCCCCGCCUGGGGAGUACGGCCGCAAGGCUAAAACUCAAAUGAAUUGACGGCUGNGACGNGCGACGACGACGACGAGGAGGAGG
This 601-nucleotide ribosomal RNA is filed under the name uncultured bacterium. RNAcentral describes it as "bacterial SSU rRNA". It matches the Rfam family "Bacterial small subunit ribosomal RNA", at positions 338 to 956 of the family's 1533-position model. The record is from RNAcentral.